Molecule: ribosomal RNA, 596 nt
Filed under: uncultured Actinomycetes bacterium
Lineage: Bacteria; Bacillati; Actinomycetota; Actinomycetes
Description: bacterial SSU rRNA
Rfam family: Bacterial small subunit ribosomal RNA
Source: RNAcentral
GGGGUAAUGGCCUACCAAGGCGACGACGGGUAGCCGGCCUGAGAGGGUGACCGGCCACACUGGGACUGAGACACGGCCCAGACUCCUACGGGAGGCAGCAGUGGGGAAUCUUGCGCAAUGGGCGAAAGCCUGACGCAGCAACGCCGCGUGGGGGAUGAAGGCCUUCGGGUUGUAAACCUCUUUCACCAUCGACGAAGCCCUUUGGGGUGACGGUAGGUGGGGAAGAAGCACCGGCUAACUACGUGCCAGCAGCCGCGGUAAUACGUAGGGUGCGAGCGUUGUCCGGAUUUAUUGGGCGUAAAGAGCUCGUAGGCGGUUUGUCGCGUCGGCCGUGAAAACCUACAGCUUAACUGUGGGCUUGCGGUCGAUACGGGCAGACUUGAGUUCGGCAGGGGAGACUGGAAUUCCUGGUGUAGCGGUGAAAUGCGCAUAUAUCAGGAGGAACACCGGUGGCGAAGGCGGGUCUCUGGGCCCAUACUGACGCUGAGGAGCGAAAGCGUGGGGAGCGAACAUGAUUAGAUACCCUGGUAGUCCACGCCAUAAACGGUGGGCGCUAGGUGUGGGGACUGGUUCCACGGUUUCCGUGCCGUAGCUAA